This 345-nucleotide ribosomal RNA is filed under the name uncultured bacterium. RNAcentral describes it as "partial 16S ribosomal RNA". It matches the Rfam family "Bacterial small subunit ribosomal RNA", at positions 338 to 700 of the family's 1533-position model. The record is from RNAcentral.
CCUACGGGAGGCAGCAGUGGGGGAUAUUGCACAAUGGGGGGAACCCUGAUGCAGCGACGCCGCGGGGGUGAAGAAGGGCCUCGGCGCGGAAAGCCCUGUCAGCAGGGAAGAAAAUGACGGUACCUGAAGAGGAAGCCCCGGCUAACUACGGGCCAGCAGCCGCGGUAAUACGUAGGGGGGAAGCGUUAGCCGGAUUUACUGGGUGUAAAGGGGGCGCAGACGGCGCUGCAAGCAAGGUGUGAAAGCCCGGGGCCCACCCCCGGGACUGCUCUUGGAACUGCGUGGCUGGAGUGCAGGAGGGGCAGGCGGACUUCCUGUUGUAGCGGUGAACUGCGUAGCUAUCAG